GUGUCCUGUCCGUCCUGAUGUGUGCUGCUCUAAUGAGUGGGUGGGAGGGUCAGGCAGUGCGACAAAUAAGGACACGGUUCCUGCACGAGCUUUCAUUCUCACUUUUAUUUGCAAGUGCGCUUUGGACCCACAGCCGCCUAAAAUGCGCUAAUUAACCAAACAGGAUUCGCUCGUGCUGUGUGUUUACGCCGGAAUAAUAAACUUUCUCAGCAAAUGUUUUCAAGGGGCCCUUUCUCAUGUGCCAAAGACGUCAUGAUUCGCUGUCUCGGAUGGACUGUUUUCCUGUGGAUCGUAAAUUCCGUUCCUUUUACUUUGGGAAUGACAGUGAAUGAGAGACUAGAUCAUACAUGUCCGCCCAUGAAGCUGGAAGAGAAAUGGCAUACCAAUGUGAACAUCCACAGAGAAUUCACAGGGUUUGAUUUAGCUGAGAAGUUUCUUCUCAGAAAAGGCACUGUGACGGACAACAGGCCGUUGUUGAGACUGGGGAGUAAACCCUUGUUCAAACCGACAGAAUCUGUGUUCCCAAAUGGUCUUUCUCAUGAGUACUCCGUUAUUGCCACGUUCCGGCUCAGAAAAACCACAAAGAAAGAUCGCUGGUUUGUUCUGCAGAUCUUUGAUAAAGGUGGAGAUACACAGGUGUCAUUAAUAGUGGAUGGAGCUAAAAAAACUGUUGAGUUUUUGGCUCAGGGUUUUCUGAAAAACAGCCUCUUGUACGUGUUCAAGAACCGAGACCUGCAUGCCCUCUUCGAUCGACAGUUUCACAAGCUAGGUGUGUCUGUCGAGAGCAAUGGAGUCUCCAUCUACCUGGACUGCAAAUUGAUCGAGCGUCAGGUGACCGCUGAAAGAUCUGGCAUGAACGUGAGCGGACGCACAUUCAUCACCACUCGAGUGGAGGAUGGACGUCCAGUGGAUAUUGAACUUCAGGAGAUUCUGAUCUUCUGUGACGCUAGAAUAGCUGACCUGGACAGAUGCUGCGAUUCUCCUGGAGUUACGUGUGAACCUGUAGUGACCCACAACCCCACAGCGGCCCCACUGGUCACAGGAUACCUCCACAGAAUGCUGUCCAUGCCUGCCCAGCUGCCCAGCGACCGAUGCCACUGUCCCUCUCUGAAGGGGGAUCAAGGGCUUCCAGGUUUGGCAGGACAUUCUGGACAAAAGGGAGAUAAAGGACAAAUGGGUUUAAAAGGAGAUCCUGGACCUCAAGGCCUACCUGGUCUCAAAGGCGAUAAAGGGGAACCAGGCCCGUCGGGUCAAGGAACACUCUCGGCUGAGCAGCAAGCUCAAAAAGGCGACCAGGGUCCCCCCGGAACUCCUGGAGAAAAAGGAGAAGCUGGCCUGCCCGGUCAACCAGGAGUACCAGGGAAAGAGGGCAAAAGGGGUCGACGGGGGGAAAGAGGAGAGAAAGGGACCCCAGGACAACCGGGUCAACCAGGAACAUGUGAUGCUGAAGCUGUCAAGGGUAUGAAGGGUGACCCGGGUGUCGCAGGAAUAGAUGGACAGAAGGGCGAUAAAGGGGAUUCUGGUUUGCCUGGCCUGGAGGGAGCCGGUGGAAUAAAGGGGCAAAAGGGUGAGGAAGGACCCCGAGGACCGCCGGGCCCCGUGAUGACACCACAUGGACUGAGACUUUCUGGACCUGAGGGGGAUGGAGGUGAGAAAGGCCAGAAAGGAGAGAAAGGAGACCAGGGCGAAAAAGGUCCUGAAGGCUCAAAAGGUCUACAGGGCAAUACUGGAUUGCCUGGACUUACAGGGCCGCCAGGACUUGAGGGAAAACAGGGUCCGCCUGGCUCUGUUGGCCUACGUGGUCUUCCAGGAGAUCUGGGCUCUCCCGGUCAGCCAGGACUGCCUGGAAAAGAUGGAAUGAAAGGAGAAAAGGGCGAUGCAGGCGGAGCGGCGGGACCGAUAGGCCCCCCGGGCCUCAAGGGUGAACCAGGUGAACCCUGCUCUGUCGGACCUUGCAAUGGGGAGGAGGUCGCGUCUGGUCUUCGGGGGUUGCGGGGCCCUAAGGGCGAGCGAGGUGUACCUGGAGUCCCCGGAGAUGCUGGAGAGAAAGGAGAACCUGGUAUAGGAAUCACUGGACCCCCUGGUCUGAUGGGAUAUAAAGGAGAACCUGGAAUUCAGGGUCCUCGUGGACCUCCAGGACCGCUUGGAACCCCAGGAAUAAUGGGACCUCCAGGCCCACAAGGCAGACCAGGACCCCCUGGACCCCCCGGAGAACCGACAGCACUACCUAUUGUUGGAGACAUGGGGAUGUUACUAAAGAAUGCCUGCAGUGUGUGUCAGACCAGAGUGCCAGGAUUGCCAGGGCAGAAAGGAGAAAAAGGUUCCCUUGGAGCUCCAGGUAUUCCAGGAAUGGAAGGAGAAAAGGGGGAUCAGGGUCUUCGGGGCCCAGCUGGUAAUCCCGGAAAAGAGGGUCCGAAGGGAGUGAAGGGUGAGAGAGGCUUUCCUGGUCCAAUGGGAGACAAGGGUGAUGAGGGGUCCCCAGGUGUGCCAGGGUUGCCUGGAUCAACAGGCCGUAUGGGCCCACAGGGACUGAUUGGCAGACCAGGACCUGUUGGGCCCUCAGGACCAAAGGGAGAACGGGGCAGCGAUGGACAGCAAGGCAGACCCGGACCUCCUGGACCUCCUGGUGCCCCAUAUGCGGAGGGCAAUGGGAUGAGCAGUCUCUACAAACUUCAGAAUGGAGCUGCUAAUACAGGUCAACCCGGACCGCCAGGGCCCUCGGGGCCCAAAGGAGACGAAGGAAGGAUGGGUGAGCCGGGGCUGAUGGGAUUACCAGGUCUAGAGGGGCUGCCAGGUGCUAAGGGUGAUCCUGGUCUACCUGGUCCACCUGGUGUUCCUGGUCCUACUGGAAAGCCUGGUCCUCGUGGUGAGACAGGAAUCCCUGGAGAACCGGGAGAACGAGGGCCUGUGGGAGAGACUGGCUUCCCUGGACCUGAAGGGCCUCCUGGAUCUUCUGGAAGGCCGGGAAAAGAUGGAAUUCCAGGCUAUACGGGAGCCACAGGCAGACCUGGAGACAGAGGUACUAAAGGAGAACGGGGAGAUCCUGGGAUUCCAGGAGAGAGAGGAGUACAGGGAGAAAGAGGCAAAACUGGAGAAAGAGGGAUCAUUGGUCCUCAGGGGCACCCUGGACAGAAAGGAGAACCAGGCACACUUUUAACAACACCAGGGACCGUCAAUCUGUUGGGUGAUACAGCUGCCUUGGAGGAAAUUAAAACAUUCAUCCGAAAUGAAGUAUUGCGCGUAUUUGAAGAGAGGUUUUCAGACAGUUCCGCUUUGCUACAGAAGACUCCAGCGGCUAUAUUAGCGGCGCAGGGUCGACAAGGUCCUCCAGGGCCACCCGGUAAUGAUGGCUCCCCAGGCCCCCCCGGAGAGUCAGGACCUCCAGGUCCCCAAGGUAGGAGCCAGAACCCGAAAGACUAAACGUGUUACGGACCUCUUUGCGCUGCUCCUACAAUAGUCUCAUCACACACAAAAAAAAAAACCAGAUGCACAAGACUGUGAUUUUAUUUAUAUGACUCAUCUAUUUCCCCAGCAUUAAGCUGCGUUUUUUUGCUUGCUUCAAGGAUUCCAGUUUUUUUUCCCCCUCUUUCUCUCGGUGGAAAAUAGUGUGUUUAUACGUAUCUAUUUUAGUUUGACUUACCGCAUCAGUUGCUUCUCGGAUUGAUUGAGUUACACUGAGCUGAGCAGGUUGAGGUCAUUUUGCUCGAGCUUUGAACCUCAAGUUCAAAGUAAUCUAGCUCACAAAACUAGAAAAUGAGAAAGACGGCCCUCACUAAAGGCAUGCAAAAAUGGCCGCUGAUUGCGAAAUUGGGUGUAAGGUGUUCACAGGAAUCUAGCUAGCUACGUCAGACAAGAAAGAAGCAGAUAGCUGCAUGACAAAGUGGCAUAUGGUGCCGAGAGCCUGGCGGGACAUAUGAAGACGGAUGAAGAACCGACCCAGAAUAGGAGAAUGUAAUAUCGCCCUGGACAGACUUGUGAGAGCAAGAAAGAUAAAGAGAAGAAGUGAGCAGAUGGAAAAAGCCACGCAAUAUCUCACUUUGUUGGAUUAAGCCCAGCCAAAAAAAAAAAAAAACCAAGGAGAGGGAGAAAAUAAGCAAUUCUGAACAUUCAUCAAAGACUGGCAACUAACGUACUGCUCCUGUAGCGUUUCUCAUCAAUAAUGACUUGCAGUUCGGCCCUGCUUCUUCUGUCUGAGUUCUUAAGGACCGUUAACCAUUAGGACAUGAUGUUUUUCAAGAUAUAAGACUAUGUACAUUUGAGUUCUAAAAAAGGGAUAAAACACAUGCUUUGAGUGUGUAUACAUAUGUUAUGUUGCGAACAUUGUGUAAUUGAUAUGCAGUUUGUGUCGAUGCAUUUUCAACAGCAGGUGAAAGUCUGAAAAGCCCAUUUGUAUCACUUUACUGUGCGUUGUGUAGACUUGGAGAAAGAAAUAUUUCUCCAUAAUGCGAGGUAUCAGGAGGAAAUUAAAAACGGGAAUUUUAAACUCCUGCUCAGUCAGAAAUUCAGCAUUUUUUUGUUUUUUUUAAUUUUGUCAGAUGUUGAUGUUGAUGACGAAGUUUGUGGGUAAUAUUUCCUCAUUAUUUUUCGUCAUCCUCCGCUGGAGCCUGUUCUCCUUUGGAAUCCUCAAUUUAACCACUUUUUUUUUUUUUUUUUCACGUGAUGUGCUAAAAUGAAUAGUUUAUGAAGAAAAAUAUCUCUGCAAUCUCGGGUCACUUUACACGUCUGAGUCGCAUUAAUUCCACUCGGGGUCAGUUUUCUUGCGAGUUACACUAAAUGAGAAUUGGCAACGUUUAAUACGUCUUUGUAUCCUCUCUCGUGACCCGAAAGAGGUGGUUUUGCUCGAAAACGCUUCCAAAUGCUGGUGUUGAAUUUAAAUGCUUUUGCUUUGUGAUUUUUGUUGUUGUUGUGCCGUAUAGCUUUACUUAUUAAUUUUUAUUUCAAGUGUGUUCUUAAAAUUAAAUGAUUUAUGUAUCAAAUUGAUGUUUCUUGUGCUCAUGAACCACAUGGUUCAUGCGAUCUGAGAUUCAUAUAACAUCAUAACAUCUAAAACUACUUAUGCAACUGUUUUACAAAGUGUAAUCAGCCAUGCUUUUGUGUAACAUUUAUUUUUUUGGGGACGGGAGGUGGCAUUUUUUUUAAUCCCUUUGUAACUUUUUGUAUUUAAAUCUUCAAGGUUGAUGAAAUCCUCUAACUCGGUUUCAUUUAAAUGUAUCUAAUUUAUACUUUAAGCUGUAUUUCCCUGCAUGCCAAGAACAUACCCAAUUAUACUUAUUAUGCUGUGUGUGCGAUAUCAUACGAAUGUCAAAUAAUGGAUUUUGAUAAUCUCAAUACAACAUUUUUAAAGAUUUUUUUCAAAUUCACUGCUGGUUUCUUUGAGCAAAUCUGCAAAGCGUAUGGAAAUACGGAGCCAUUUUAAGAUUAAUUCAAUGUAAAUAUAUUUCUAUGUAAUAUUUCAUGUUUUCAUUCUCAUUUUUCUUCCUCCACGAGGUUUAGUCUUGUUUUGUGAGUAUGAAAAAUGAUUUUAAGUGUAAGAUCUUAGAAAGAUGACAGUGUGCAGAUGUUGCUGCGGGCUGCGUUUUGCUAGUACUGUAUUGCAGCUCCCCCUGCCGCUUUUUUUUUUCCUGUUAUAACUGUGCAGUAUGAACUCCCCCUCAAGCAGGGGUGGUAAUGCAGUGAUUGUGAGCGGCCACAGGAAGCCAUGAUGUGAUGCCGCAGGGUAUCGAGGGCAGAAAGGGGAACGGGGUCAAAUGGGCUUGGGACUUCCAGGAGGUCCGGGCCCAACUGGCCCACCAGGCUCACCUGGAAUAGGUUUCCAGGGUCCCAAAGGUUCUCCGGGGCCCCA
Puntigrus tetrazona (Sumatra barb) is the source of this 5842-nucleotide RNA transcript. It is a transcript of the gene named collagen alpha-1(XIX) chain, with no coding region annotated. The record is from RefSeq and is a predicted model, not a curated record. The transcript has 52 exons. Lineage: Eukaryota; Metazoa; Chordata; Actinopteri; Cypriniformes; Cyprinidae.